UCACCAGCCAGGCUCCUGGCUAAAAUCCAGCUCUAAGCUGGAUUUUAGCCUAAGCCUGGCUGUAAA
Molecule: microRNA precursor, 66 nt
Organism: Neotoma lepida (desert woodrat)
Lineage: Eukaryota; Metazoa; Chordata; Mammalia; Rodentia; Cricetidae
Rfam family: mir-344 microRNA precursor family
Source: Rfam